RNAcentral lists this ribosomal RNA (464 nucleotides) under Vreelandella stevensii. RNAcentral describes it as "partial 16S ribosomal RNA". It matches the Rfam family "Bacterial small subunit ribosomal RNA", at positions 338 to 795 of the family's 1533-position model. The record is from RNAcentral. Lineage: Bacteria; Pseudomonadati; Pseudomonadota; Gammaproteobacteria; Oceanospirillales; Halomonadaceae.
CCUACGGGUGGCAGCAGUGGGGAAUAUUGGACAAUGGGGGCAACCCUGAUCCAGCCAUGCCGCGUGUGUGAAGAAGGCCCUCGGGUUGUAAAGCACUUUCAGUGAGGAAGAACGCCUGGUGGUUAAUACCCAUCAGGAAAGACAUCACUCACAGAAGAAGCACCGGCUAACUCCGUGCCAGCAGCCGCGGUAAUACGGAGGGUGCGAGCGUUAAUCGGAAUUACUGGGCGUAAAGCGCGCGUAGGUGGCUUGAUAAGCCGGUUGUGAAAGCCCCGGGCUCAACCUGGGAACGGCAUCCGGAACUGUCAAGCUAGAGUGCAGGAGAGGAAGGGAGAAUUCCCGGUGUAGCGGUGAAAUGCGUAGAGAUCGGGAGGAAUACCAGUGGCGAAGGCGGCCUUCUGGACUGACACUGACACUGAGGUGCGAAAGCGUGGGUAGCAAACAGGAUUAGAUACCUUGUAGUC